RNAcentral lists this long non-coding RNA (1059 nucleotides) under Brassica napus (rape). RNAcentral describes it as "long non-coding RNA (BNAP_LNC024589)". The record is from RNAcentral. Lineage: Eukaryota; Viridiplantae; Streptophyta; Magnoliopsida; Brassicales; Brassicaceae.
GAUAAUAUUUCAAAUUUUACAAAAGAUAAAAUCAUGGAUAUUAAAGAAUGAAAUUUUGAAAUGCAACACGAAAAAAAAAUUUUGUUGUAAAAUUAAAGUAAUCUUAUAUUUUAAAAUAUUAAUUUAAUAACAAAAAAAAUAAUAUCAUAACAUCUAAACAUAUAUAUCUUGUAUCAAUAAAAUUUACUAAAAUAAUAUGAUAGAUGCUACUAUGUAUAAAAUUUCCUAAAAUAAUAGGGUUGUAUUAUUUACAAAAAUAGUGUAUUUACUUAUAAAUCCCGCAAAAUACUAAAAUGAUAUAUGUUAAAGUAUAUUUUCUUAAACACAACAUGUAAAUAUAAAUUAUCUUAAACAUGCAUCUUUCCUAUAAUAUGACUAAAAAAAAUUCAAUAAUGUAUUAUAUGCAAAAUGUAAAAAUUGAAGAAAAACAUAUUUUAAAUGAGAUUAUCUAUUUGAUCAUUGGGAAAUUGCCAAAAAUAUCAUUUUCAAAGUACCACUUUUCAAGUUUACAACUAACCAAUUUUACCAUCAUCUUUAAUGAAGGGUAAAAGACAUUUAUAACCUUUUGAUUAACUUUAACAAAAAAAAACAUAUGGGUUAACUACUCUAAACUCUAAAUCAUCAACUCUAAACCCUAAACCAUGAAACAUCAACUCUAAACCAUAAACCCCGAAACAUCAACUCUAAACCCUAAACCUUCAAAUCUAAACCCUAAAACAUCAAACUAUAAACACUAAACGUAAACCCUAAACCCUAAAUCUAAACUUAAAACAUCAACCAUAAACCCUAAAUCAUCAACUCUAAGCCCUAAACUAUGAAACAUCAACUCUAAACCCUAAACCCCGAAAUAUCAACACUAAACCCUAAACGUAAACCCUAAACCCUAUAUUUUUCUGAAAUUCGAACCCUAAACCUUCAAAUCUAAACCCUAAAACAUCAACUCUAAACCCUAAACGUAAACUCUAAACCCUAAAACCCUAAACCUUCAAUUCUAAACCCUAAACAUCAACUCUAGGGUUUUAGGGUUUAGGGUUUAGGAUUUAGGUUUUAGGGUUUAGA